RNAcentral lists this ribosomal RNA (109 nucleotides) under Sorghum bicolor (sorghum). The record is from RNAcentral. Lineage: Eukaryota; Viridiplantae; Streptophyta; Magnoliopsida; Poales; Poaceae.
GGAUGCGAUCAUACCAGCAUUAAAGCACCGGAAACUCCGAUGUUAGCGUGCUUGGGCGAGAGUAGUACUGGGAUGGGUGACCUCCUCGGAAGUCCUCGUGUUGCAUUCC